Molecule: long non-coding RNA, 1045 nt
Organism: Humulus lupulus (European hop)
Lineage: Eukaryota; Viridiplantae; Streptophyta; Magnoliopsida; Rosales; Cannabaceae
Exons: 6
Source: RefSeq, a predicted model, not a curated record
AACAGUCUUAUCAUUCAGGGAAUUGAUUGAUCUACCAAAUCUAAGACUUUUUUUUUUUAUUGAAGUAUGUGUUUGAUCUUCUUAUUUUGUUUAGUUUUAUUCUCUCUAUUUAUGAUUUGCUUAUUUCCAUGUUCCAGCUUCACCAUUCUUUCACCAACUAACCAAUCCAUAUUUGUUCCAAGUCUGGCUUACCACAAUCCCAAGUUUGUUUUACGUCUUCUAAUAUUAUUCAAUUUUUAUAAAAAUAUUUACUUAUAAUAGUAUGGUAGGACCUGUAGUAAUUUGAGAUUAUUUUACAUCUCUAAAGAUGGUUUUUCUUCUUCUUUUCUUUUCAAUUAAAGCUUCAGCUCAAGUGCACAUUUUUCUUCUAUAUGAGGCUUUAUGUACACUGAAAAUCUGAGACUAGAAUUGUUUAGAAUUCUAUAUUUCUAAAAGAAGCUCUUGAUUCCCAAUUAUGAUUUUAGAUGAUGAUGAUGAUGAUGUGGCACAGCUGCAAAGAAAGCCUCUGUUUUGGAAGACUGACUGGAGUUUCAUUAAAUGCCCAGUUUCCACAAGUUUUAUGCUCUACUAAAUUCUUCAGGCCUUUUGUGUACUGAGAAUCUAAGAGUGGAGUCAUAUGUUCAUAGAUUGUUCCAAAGAAAUUAUUUAGCAAAUGGUGUGGUGUGCAUAAGAUACUUGAAUUAGUUUUUAUCAUACACUGACUUAUACCAUCAACGAUCGCGAAUCUGACUUCCCUAUUAGACUUGCGGUUAAGUGAAAUAUCUAAUGUAAGUUCUUCUCUUGCAUUUAUCAAGGAUAUGAAGUCUCUAAGUACCUUAGUACUUAGGAACAACAAUAUCACUGGUACAAUUCCAUCGAAUAACGGAGAGCUCCAACAGUUACAAAAACUAGAUUUGAGCUUUAACAAGUUAAAUUGACAGAUUCCAGACUCUCUUUUCAACAUUAGCUCACUCUCUUAUCUGUAAUACAUCUUUAGUUUUCUCUCUUGGGUUAACAUGCUUGUACCAUUUGGUUAACUCUUUCUGUCUAAAAAAAACUUUCAUUU